UGGGGAAUAUUGCACAAUGGGCGCAAGCCUGAUGCAGCGACGCCGCGUGCGGGAUGGAGGCCUUCGGGUUGUAAACCGCUUUUGUUCAAGGGCAAGGCACGGUUUUUGGCCGUGUUGAGUGGAUUGUUCGAAUAAGCACCGGCUAACUACGUGCCAGCAGCCGCGGUAAUACGUAGGUG
This 179-nucleotide ribosomal RNA is filed under the name uncultured Bifidobacterium sp. RNAcentral describes it as "partial 16S ribosomal RNA". It matches the Rfam family "Bacterial small subunit ribosomal RNA", at positions 355 to 534 of the family's 1533-position model. Lineage: Bacteria; Bacillati; Actinomycetota; Actinomycetes; Bifidobacteriales; Bifidobacteriaceae. The record is from RNAcentral.